CACAAGCGGUGGAUGAUGUGUUUAAUUCGAUGCAACGACGAAAACCUUACCCACCUUUGACAUGUACGGAAGCCUUUAGAGAUAGAGGCGUGCGUCGAAAGAGAGCCGUAACACAGGUGCUGCAUGGCUGUCGUCAGCUCGUGUCGUGAGAUGUUGGGUUAAGUCCCGCAACGAGCGCAACCCUUGUCAUUAGUUGCCAUCAUUUAGUUGGGCACUCUAAUGAGACUGCCGGUGACAAACCGGAGGAAGGUGGGGAUGACGUCAAGUCCUCAUGGCCCUUAUGGGUAGGGCUUCACACGUCAUACAAUGGUCGGUACAGAGGGUUGCCAAGCCGCGAGGUGGAGCCAAUCCCUUAAAGCCGAUCGUAGUCCGGAUUGAGGUCUGCAACUCGACCUCAUGAAGUCGGAAUCGCUAGUAAUCGCGGAUCAGCAUGUCGCGGUGAAUACGUUCCCGGGUCUU
This 459-nucleotide ribosomal RNA is filed under the name uncultured Rhodoferax sp. Its description in RNAcentral is "bacterial SSU rRNA". It matches the Rfam family "Bacterial small subunit ribosomal RNA", at positions 924 to 1382 of the family's 1533-position model. The record is from RNAcentral. Lineage: Bacteria; Pseudomonadati; Pseudomonadota; Betaproteobacteria; Burkholderiales; Comamonadaceae.